GAAAUGCGAUAAGUAAUGUGAAUUGCAGAAUUCAGUGAAUCAUCGAAUCUUUGAACGCACCUUGCGCUCCUUGGUAUUCCUUGGAGCAUGCCUGUUUGAGUAUCAUGAAAUCUUCAAAGUAACUCUUUUGUUAACUCAAUUGGUUUCUACUUUGGUAUUGGAGGUCUUUGCAGCUUCACACCUGCUCCUCUUUGUUCAUUAGCUGGAUCUCAGUGUUAUGCUUGGUUCCACUCGGCGUGAUAAGUUAUCUAUCGCUGAGGACACUGUAAAAGGUGGCCAAGCUAAAUGCAGAUGAACCGCUUCUAAUAGUCCAUUGACUUGGACAAUACUUUUAUGAUCUGAUCUCAAAUCAGGUAGGACUACCCGCUGAACUUAAGC
Molecule: unclassified non-coding RNA, 378 nt
Filed under: plant metagenome
Description: partial contains 5.8S ribosomal RNA, internal transcribed spacer 2, and large subunit ribosomal RNA
Rfam family: 5.8S ribosomal RNA (bases 1-105)
Source: RNAcentral